UUUAACAAAUCAUUAAAUUCUUUAUCUUUCCAUUUAAAAAGAAAAUUUAAUUAUUUAACGAUGAAAAAUACUUUGCGCUCUUCUCUCGGUUGAAUUGAAUGACUUCUUCCCAUUUCACCUGGGUUCCAAACGUGGCCCUGACUUGUCAUUUCCUGAUGAUUUUAUUUCAUUCUUCUGCUUCUGGCCUUCGGGAAUAGCUAGCUUUGUACUAAUAAACUAGUCAUUUCCCCUUAGCCUAUUAUUAUUCUAAAAUACUAAUAAACUAGGGUUCCAAUAAAAAAAAAUCGCUUAUUUACUAAUUAAUACAAUAUUGAUUCUUACUUACGCUAAGGUUUCGAGAUCAAACUACAUAUGAAACAUGUUACCAGAGCCUCUCCAAAUUUUCAAACCAAUUCCUUGUAAUAUAUAUAUAUAUAUAUACACACACACACAAAAUUCCUCCAUCUAAAAAUUCUUCAACCAUCUACUGAAGACCAGCCAUUGAGGAGUCUUGUGGUGGUUGCAACUCUCAAUGAGUUUGGCCGAAGCUGCAAUGGCAGUAAUGGUUGUGAUGAAAAAAAAAUCAUUUAAGUUUAGUUAAGUUUUCAUUCAGGUCCCCACUAAACUACACUCUGGCCCCCAAUAUAUUUACACUUUCCUCACAUCCAAAAUUUUAAAAUACAAAUUUAAAGAAUUGGGCUUUCCAAACUUGAAUAUAGCCCAUAAAUAUUAACAUUAAUUUAACUUUUAAUGGUCCACAAACUCAAUAAAAUUUGUAAAGAUAUAUCGAAGUCUGAUAAAUCUUUUAAAUUUAUAUAUUUAUUAUUUUUUAAAAUUGAUUUCAUAGUGUUAUUGAAUAAACCCUAAACCAAAGAAUAUGCUGUCUACACACCUGCUUUAUUGAAAAAAUAUAUAUAGAUUUUUAUAUUUUAUCAUAUCGAAAAACAAUUUGGGAGAAAAAAGGAAAAGCAAAUGAAAACAAAUCAUAUGUGUGCUGCUUAACCAAUGUGCUUGUCUUAUCAUCUUUAGGUUUGCAGCGUGUGCGAGGACAUGAUUGAAGGGUGGCUAUUCCUAUUAGGGAGAUCCAAAUGUAAGACAUUAAUUUAUUUUCUAAUUGAAAAUUAAAAAAGAGAAUCGAUUGAAGCCAGCUCAAAAACACACGAAGACAGAUAUGUUUCCUAAAUACAUGAACACAUGGAAACUUGUAAUUUAAAUGGCUAACAAAAAGCAUAUCUUGUCUCUUCCCUGUGGAAUAUUUUAGUCAAAUUCAUAAAUUAUCGAUAAUAAUUAUAUUUCUAGCAAUCGGAUUCUUCUUGAUGAACUAAGAACUUUAUCCGCAAAAAUAAAUAAAUAAUCUACACAUAAGUUGGAGAACUGACAGAUUCUAAUACUUUUAUCUUUUUUUUUUCUUAAUUUUAUUGAUAAUCAACAUAAUCUAAUCCAACUAGAACUAAUUAACAUAGUAUUUAUCAUUACCUAAACUUUCGAGUCAAACAAAGAAAUACAAAAGCCUAUCAUAAUUUCAAACCAAUUGCACGUAGGAACGAGUGAGAAUUGAUUUAUUUUAUUAGUGUUAAUGAAAAAGUGGAGAAUUUUUGGGUGUGAUGGUAAGCAUGCCUUAUUUAUAAGAUUGAGACCUUGCAACAACAAUCUAUGUGAAGGCAACAUAAACUACUAGUGAUUUGUGGACUUUGUGUCGUUCCAUCUUCAAUAAUUGUUUAUGCUUUAAUCGGAAAAGUAUUUUGAGCUACCUAGUUAGGCCAAACAAUGAGUUGUAUGUGUUAGACAUUAAUGUCGGUUAAUUGAUGCAUUUAAACACAUGAUUUCUCUUCUUCUUUUCCUUUUUUCCCACUCUUCAGUAUAAAAAAACACAUCUUUAAAAAAAAAAAGUUAAAAAAUAAAACUCACAACGCACAAGCGCACAUCUCCGAUUAGCCUUGAUCCGAAUAAAAUUCAAUCUCUUAAAGAUGAAUUUACAUAAAUGGUGAUCUUUUCUAUACUAAUUUUUUUAUAACCUUCCGUCAUACGUACAUUUUUACAUAGUACAGUCGAGAUUUAAUUAUCUAUAUAUUCUUAUCUAAUUACUACCACUCAUACCUGUUAAAAAAUUUAUUAACAUAAUUUUAUUUUAAAAUUAGUUUAAUUUAAUUUUUCUAAAUAAAUUAUGACAUAAUACAAAUAAUUUCUUAAUUAAUAUAUCAUAAUUUUUAAUUUUUAUUUGAACAACAAAAAAUAGAGUUGCCGCCGCUGCCGCCAUUGGAGCCGCCGUCCACCACCAUACCAUGUCAUUUCAACUCUAGAAUUAUAUGAAAAUUAUCAGAACCAGACGAUCUAUAUAUUGAAACAACUUAUUUGGCCGAAAUACUUGAUGUUCGUCCGGAUCUGAGAUAGUGAGAAAGUUUUCCAAUUGCUUUUAACUGGAUUUGAGGAAGAUGACUUCAUUUUUUUCACUUUUAUGAUGGUAUAAUGACGUUGAUCGUCAGCAGGCGACUUCAACGGUACGGGAGGUGACGUCCCACGCGUGAGUGUUGGCGGCGGAGGCGGCGGUCCGGCAGCGGCAAUGAUGGCGGUUCGGCGACUAUUAAAUUCGUAUAUCUAUUUUUUUUUAAUUUAAUGAAAUAAAUAGAGUGAUUUUAUUAAAUUGUUUAAAUCAUUGCUUUAACUUUUAUUAAUAUAAAAUUAAUUAUUUACAAUAUUAAAUUGAUAAAAUAAAAUUGUAAAUAAUAAUUAUUUGAUAAUAUUAAAUAAGUUAAUAAAAGAUUGAAUGGGUAAUUUUGGAUGUUUUGACUUUCAAUAUGAGAGGAAUUCAAAUUCAUCACUUUUAAUAUGGAAUCUAAAUUGCACAUUAUGAUGUAUAUUAAAUUUUAAUGAAAAUUAAAUUCUUAUAAAUUAUGGUAAAUCAAAUAAAGAAAAUAAAAAAGAAAUUUAAAUUACUUUCCUUUCUCCUUUCCUCUCCUUCCAACCAAACACCACCGAAAAUCUUGAGAUAAAAAGGAAAAUUUGAGGAGUAAUGGUAUUGAGCUCAAGUUGAGAAUGUGCUAUAACUAAUAAAUUUCUACGUGGAAUUUCGGAUAUUCGAAUGGAAUAGAUAUUUAAACCAACGAUGCUCCUAUGGUUGCUAGAAGGGAAAACUUUUGGUGAAACAAAAAAUACAAGGGUAAAAAAAAGGAUAAAUGAAUGUGUGAAUUAUAAAAAGAAUAAAUAUAAAAAUUUAUCGAAACAUUUAUUUUGUUUUCAAUUUGAAUAGGAUAGCUUUGAAUUUAUGUAGUAAUUGUAAGGAUGUUUAUGAAAUUGUAUUAAAAAGAUAAAAUUUAUUACUAAAAUCAAAUUUUAAAAAACUUUUCUCACUGUAUUUUUCAAAACUAUGAUGGGGCUGAUUUCAUAAGUUUUUUUUAUACUAAAAUUAACUUUUAAGUAAUUAUUUUUAAAAAUUCAAAAGUAACGUCAAACCGUCAUUUUUUAAUAUUAAUUUGUAGUAUUCACAUUAACUUUUUGACUAUAGUGUUUCGGUUUCUUUUAAGUCUACUCAUCCAUAGAGAACAAAAAGAAAAAAAAUGAAAAUGAUAAGUAAGAACCCCAUCGGAGCUUCGAAGGCUCUGUUUAUAUUUACAAGGUAUAUUGAGUUCUCGUAACGUUACAUGCUUUAGAACCAAUUUUUUAUUUUUUUUUUCUUGGCACUAUGCUUUAGCACCAAUUUAGUAAGUCUUUUAUGUUAUUUUAAUUUUUCAAUUUUAGUUGAAUUUGUCUAAAUUGUUUGAGUAGCAUUUUGAUUAGUCUCAUCUCUUGUACAAUAUAGAUAUAUAGAGAUACCAGUUUACAUAAACUCUCAAUAGAAUCAUUUCAUAAUUAAUUCUUAAAUAAUGACAGAAUAAAAAAUUAUUUAUAUAAAUUAAUAUAACGUAAAAAUUUUGAAUAAAAAAUUGAAUUAAUAGAAAUAGUUAUAAAAAUAAUGUGGUAUUUAUUCAAUUAAUACUUAUAUGCCACAUAUAAGUUUAUAAAAAAAAAUUGAUGGUUGUUUAUCCAUUAUUUUAGAUUUAAAAAAAAAAAAAAAAAACUCAUCUAAAGUACUGAUUACUUAGAAAUAUAUUUAAAAAAAAAAGGGGGAAACAAACAAAAGGUAAGCAAAAGAAAUCACGGGAGUAAAAGGUGGCCUACAUGAGGAAAUUGCGAGGAAAGAACAAGUGGCCCCAUUUCAGUCAUCUUAUCUCAUUAGCCUUUUGGACCAUAUUGUCAGGCAGCUUAUGGCUCAUUAAUUUCUUCGGAGCUUCGAAGACUUUUAAAUAAACAAAUAUAUAUAUAUAUA
RNAcentral lists this long non-coding RNA (4282 nucleotides) under Citrus x clementina. Its description in RNAcentral is "Citrus clementina (C. clementina) long non-coding RNA (CCLE_LNC006319)". Lineage: Eukaryota; Viridiplantae; Streptophyta; Magnoliopsida; Sapindales; Rutaceae. The record is from RNAcentral.